CAGGGCACAGCUCGCUGCCAGGGCACAGCUUGCCUCCAGGGCACAGCUCGCUGCCGGGGCACGGACAGCUCCACACCUCGCUGUGCUGGAAACUGGAAAUCUUCCAAGUCCUUCCGCGCUACCUGCAGUCAGGAGUCCAUGUCCCCCAUUGUGACACUCCCCAGAAGCUGAAGGGCUGCUGGCCCAGCCAAAGCCUGCAAGGUCUGACCAGCACAGGGAUGUACAAGAAGCUCCACAGCUCACAGCACCAACCCUGCUGUAGAAACCAUCACUGAAUAAAAGGAAUUUUCAAAACCGUUA
Molecule: long non-coding RNA, 300 nt
Organism: Passer domesticus (house sparrow)
Lineage: Eukaryota; Metazoa; Chordata; Aves; Passeriformes; Passeridae
Exons: 2
Source: RefSeq, a predicted model, not a curated record